AGUGAACGCUGGCGGUAGGCCUAACACAUGCAAGUCGAACGGCAGCACAGUAAGAGCUUGCUCUUACGGGUGGCGAGUGGCGGACAGGUGAGGAAUACAUCGGAAUCUACUUUUUCGUGGGGGAUAACGUAGGGAAACUUACGCUAAUACCGCAUACGACCUACGGGUGAAAGCAGGGGAUCUUCGGACCUUGCGCGAUUGAAUGAGCCGAUGUCGGAUUAGCUAGUUGGCGGGGUAAAGGCCCACCAAGGCGACGAUCCGUAGCUGGUCUGAGAGGAUGAUCAGCCACACUGGAACUGAGACACGGUCCAGACUCCUACGGGAGGCAGCAGUGGGGAAUAUUGGACAAUGGGCGCAAGCCUGAUCCAGCCAUACCGCGUGGGUGAAGAAGGCCUUCGGGUUGUAAAGCCCUUUUGUUGGGAAAGAAAAGCAGCAGGUUAAUACCCCGCUGUUCUGACGGUACCCUAAGAAUAAGCACCGGCUAACUUCGUG
Molecule: ribosomal RNA, 492 nt
Filed under: uncultured bacterium
Lineage: Bacteria
Description: partial 16S ribosomal RNA
Rfam family: Bacterial small subunit ribosomal RNA
Source: RNAcentral